RNAcentral lists this long non-coding RNA (404 nucleotides) under Heterocephalus glaber (naked mole-rat). RNAcentral describes it as "lncRNA (ENSHGLG00000032651.1)". Lineage: Eukaryota; Metazoa; Chordata; Mammalia; Rodentia; Bathyergidae. The record is from RNAcentral.
CUAUCUCAAAAAGAUAAAAAAGAGUCCUUUCAAUCUACAUCAGGUGCUCAAGAGAACAGGCUCGUCUUCGUAAGUCAUGUAAUCAACAGAAUUCAAGGAGAUGGCAGUGCAUGAUAUCUACUUUGAUUUCUUAGAAAGCUUGCCCUUCAGAUACUCUCCUCUUAAACCUACCCAGCCAUACUCUAAGAAGCCCAGCACAUGGAGAGGUCCCGUAGGUGCUCCAGAUCCUCCCUUCACUGUCUGCUGCUUGGCUGCCAAGGGAUGAGCAGCUCUCCUCCACCCACAUCCUUCCACCAUGCACUUCCUGCCUUGGAGACAGCCAAUUAUGGACUGAAUCCUCUAAACCCAGGUUUAUAGAAAUGCAACAACUUAAAGACCUAGAAGAAAUGAGUAUUUCAGCUGGU